This 837-nucleotide long non-coding RNA is filed under the name Homo sapiens (human). RNAcentral's name for it is "long intergenic non-protein coding RNA 1020". Lineage: Eukaryota; Metazoa; Chordata; Mammalia; Primates; Hominidae. The record is from RNAcentral.
AGAGCAACAGAAUACUGUGCUGAGGCCCCAAAACAGAAAGGAAAGCUCACCACCAGAAUGUGCCUUUUCCUUAUCAAAAAGAAUUGCUGCCCCUUACAGGACAGGAGGACUCCAAUUGUGACCAAGUUGGAGCAGCCUUGAGCCACAACUCAGACUUAUUUUCAUUCUCUGCUCAUUGGCCAUUAGGAACCCGAUCCUUAUGAUGUUGUUGCUAUGAUUUUUCUUUUUAAGACCUGCAGUGACCUGCUGCUACCAGAACUGACUCGCUUCAAAGUGACGGAUGAAACCCAUAUGGAGAUAUUCCUGGGGUGGGUAGGCCAGUUGGAAGACAGAGUGUUUACACCUGAGAGAGGACUUGAGCAUAUCUGAACCUUUUGCACCAUUCAGUAAAGAGAAAAGGGGAGCUCAGGAAAAGCAGUUGAAAUACCAUUAGUUAACAGAUUGCCCAAUGAAGUCGAUGACAACUGUGAUAACAAGUUACUCACUAUCACAGCGUCUCCAAGAGAUGAACAGUGGAUGAUGCUUCCAAAGCACAGAUGUCCCUCUCCUCCUCAACCUUCUCUCCCCAGAAAGAUGUCAACACUGUGGAGAUUGUGCUAUGAAGAUACCUGGUGUGGCAUUGCAAUAGAUGAAAUAUUAAGGGCAAUUCAACAAUUUUCUGAACAAAUACAUGGAUUUAACUUGAAGUUGAAUUUAAUUUGACUUCAAGAAAAAUUAUAUUUCUGGUCCUCCUAUGAUCAUGCACUAAGAAUUAUUUAACUGCAGAUACAAUUGUUACCUUUAGAGCUAGAAGGCCUCAUUUUAGAAUUAAAAUGAAUGGCAACCCAGACAGAUAAA